This 455-nucleotide ribosomal RNA is filed under the name uncultured Anaerocella sp. Its description in RNAcentral is "partial 16S ribosomal RNA". It matches the Rfam family "Bacterial small subunit ribosomal RNA", at positions 341 to 792 of the family's 1533-position model. Lineage: Bacteria; Pseudomonadati; Bacteroidota; Bacteroidia; Bacteroidales; Rikenellaceae. The record is from RNAcentral.
ACGGGAGGCAGCAGUGAGGAAUAUUGGUCAAUGGGCGGAAGCCUGAACCAGCCAUACCGCGUGCAGGAGGAAGGUCUUAUGGAUUGUAAACUGCUUUUGUAUUGGGGUAAUGGCAGUGUCGAGAACACUGAAGAGAAAGUACAAUACGAAUAAGUAUCGGCUAACUCCGUGCCAGCAGCCGCGGUAAUACGGAGGAUACGAGCGUUAUCCGGAUUUAUUGGGUUUAAAGGGUGCGUAGGCGGACUGACAGGUCUGUGGUGAAAGCGUUAUGCUCAACAUAAUCGAGCCACAGAAACCGGCGGACUAGAAUAUAAGUGGCGCAGGCGGAAUAAAUCAUGUAGAGGUGACAUUCAUAGAGAUGAUUUAGAACACCGGUCGCGAAGGCAGCUUGCGAAGGUAAUAUUGACGCUAAUGCACGAAAGCGUGGGUAUCGAACAGGAUUAGAUACCCUGGUA